Molecule: small RNA, 90 nt
Filed under: Flavobacterium cauense R2A-7
Lineage: Bacteria; Pseudomonadati; Bacteroidota; Flavobacteriia; Flavobacteriales; Flavobacteriaceae
Description: Flavo-1 RNA
Rfam family: Flavo-1 RNA
Source: RNAcentral
AUCUAGCCCCGAUAGCAGCGGCAUCCUUUUUUCGGUGGCUGAGGCUCUCGAAGUCACCGGAAAAAGAUAGAGCGGAUAGCGGGAAUUGCU